UUGUCCUGCCUGUGUAUUUAAGCCCUGUGUCUUCCACUGUUUUAUGCUGGUUCAUCUGUGUGUCAUCCUCUGCAUUUCUUCUGUGUUUUGUUGAAUUUCUCCAGGUUCCGUGGUUCUCCUCGCUGGUCUUCAUAUUCUGUGUUUCCCCGUCUUAGAUUUUUAUGUUUCAUGUUUCGAGUCCUAGCAGUUUUGUUCCUUUGUAUUAUUUUUGUACCUUUUCCCAGUUUAGAUUUUUCUUAGUUUUACUUGCUGCCAUGCUCUGCCUUUGUUUGUAUUUCGUUCCCCCACUUUAAAUGAAACUCACGCACAGUUACUCAGUCAUCGGUGCCUGCACUUGGAUCCACCCUCCUCACCACUCCGCACGUCUGCGUCAGCACUCGUGACACAAAGGAAUGGCAGAUGGGUUCAAGGUGGGGACGGGAUUACCUCAGUGGUCAGCUCUGAGUCCCUUGUGGUUUGCAGUUGUGAUGGACAUUAAGACACGAGGUCAAGCACGAGUCUCUGUAGACUGAUGUUUACAGACACUAUUUUGAGAAUAGAUGGCAUGUGGAAAAGAGACGAGAGAGACGGAGGUAUGCUCUGAAGAGAAGAGGAAUGAAAGUCAGAACAGAAAGACGUGUGUAAAUGAGAGGGAAGCAUGUGUAACAGUGAAGAUGCAAGGAAAGUAGUGAAAGUAGCUGGGGUCAACCAUCCAAAGCAACAGAGCACCAAAAAAAGUAAAGACAGGGCGAAGUGGGUGGAGACAAGUGUCAGAAGAAGAAAUAAAUGAUUUGUAUGAGCAAGAGUGAAAGGGAAGAUAGUGAGGCCUGCUAUGGUGUAUUAUUUAAAGACAGUGGCAUUGAGAAAAAGACAGAAGGCAAAUCUUGAGGUGGCAGAAUUGAAGAUGUUAAGAUUUUCAUUGGGAAUGAUCCAAAUGGACAAGAUUAGAAAUGAGUACCAGUAUCAGACAGCCAGCUCAGGUUGAGUGGUUUAGAGACAACGUUAGAGAGGCUGAGAGACAUGUACAGAGGAGUGAUAGUGGAUGCAAGUUUGAAAAGUAUUCUCACAGUAGAAUGAUGGAGUUCAAAUGUUUGAAAAUUACCCUUUGAUGAGGAGAAUCAAAUGUCUAUAAGUCUGAUUAUUGCUGAUGUCUUUCCUUCUAUGCAUUGUGUUAACACACAAAUAAAUGCUCCAGACCAGCAAACCUAGGUGCUCACACUGGACGAUGAUCAGUUAAUCAAGUGCAUCUUGCUGCUCACCCUCUUAGUUCCUAUAUAAGCAGGAAGGGGGUACUUGGUUUACUGCUUCUGCAU
Molecule: long non-coding RNA, 1292 nt
Organism: Oreochromis niloticus (Nile tilapia)
Lineage: Eukaryota; Metazoa; Chordata; Actinopteri; Cichliformes; Cichlidae
Exons: 2
Source: RefSeq, a predicted model, not a curated record